Pteropus vampyrus (large flying fox) is the source of this 140-nucleotide small nucleolar RNA. The record is from Ensembl. NCBI's taxonomy places the organism in Eukaryota, Metazoa, Chordata, Mammalia, Chiroptera, Pteropodidae.
CCUCCUCUUCUUGGCGGGGAUCAGGCUUUGGUCCUGGUUCCUGUAAUGUAGGGAGGCAGAGGGACAGGCCUCCGCCCCUCUCUGUGUCAUGUCUUCAGUGCUGAUGGCUUCCAGUCCACCAAUUCUACACGGGGGAAGAA